GAUGAAGAACGUAGCGAAAUGCGAUAAGUAAUGUGAAUUGCAAAAUUCAGUGAAUCAUCGAAUCUUUGAACGCACAUUGCGCCCGGUAGUAUUCUGCCGGGCAUGCCUGUUCGAGCGUCAUUUCAACCAUCAAGCCCCAGCGCUUGUGUUGGGGGCCUGCGGCUGCCGCAGCCCCCUAAAAGCAGUGGCGGGCUCGCUAUCACACCGAGUGCAGUAGUUCAUCUUCUCUCCGGUCUUGUGAGGCGGGUUCCGGCCGUGAAACACCCCACUACAUUCAAGGUUGACCUCGGAUCAGGUAGGAAUACCCGCUGAACUUAAGCAUAUCAAUAAGCGGAGGA
RNAcentral lists this unclassified non-coding RNA (338 nucleotides) under soil metagenome. RNAcentral describes it as "partial contains 5.8S ribosomal RNA, internal transcribed spacer 2, and large subunit ribosomal RNA". The stretch from base 1 to 120 matches the Rfam family "5.8S ribosomal RNA", at positions 35 to 154 of the family's 154-position model. The record is from RNAcentral.